AAAAAGGGCUUCUGUCUUGAGUGACACACAUAGGGCAGCUCAUUUGCUCUAUGUGCGGAACUGACAUCAAGAGACUUCGGAAGCAUAAUUUUUGUUGAUUGGGCAGCUGGUGAUCAUUGAUCCAA
Small nuclear RNA from Erinaceus europaeus (western European hedgehog), 125 nucleotides. NCBI's taxonomy places the organism in Eukaryota, Metazoa, Chordata, Mammalia, Eulipotyphla, Erinaceidae. The record is from Ensembl.